AUUUGAAUCGUUCAGUUGUGUUCAAAAGUUUUGAUCGUGCAAGAGAAGAAGAAGAAAUUCCUACAAAUUUAUUAAAGUAAAUUAUUUCAAUAAAAACGCAGAAACAGAAGUGCCUUUGUGUUGUGAGAUAUUUCCACACGCAUUAAAAAAUUGAAUUUAUAACAAUAAUAAAGCAAUAUUAUUAUUAAAAAAUAUAUAAAAAUAUUAUUACAGAAGCAAAAAAUAAUAAGAGACUGUGAAAAAAAUUAAAAAAAUAAAGAAAACUCAGAAGUGUUUGAAGCAAAAAAAUUAAAAUAAUAAUUAAAGUAAAUAAAAACAAAACACAAAAAAUAAAACAUACAAAAUGAGUCACCAUGAACAGCAACAAAGUACACAAAGUAUAGCUGAUUACUUAGCACAACUAUUGAAGGAUCGCAAACAAUUGGCAGCUUUUCCCAAUGUCUUCAAUCAUGUUGAACGACUUUUGGAUGAAGAAAUUUCAAAAGUACGAGCCUCAUUAUUCCAGAUAAAUGGUGUCAGAAAAGAGCCGUUAGAGUUACCGGAGCCAGAUGGACAACCGCUCACAAUGAAUGAAAAAGUCUAUGUACCAGUCAAAGAACAUCCAGAUUUCAACUUUGUCGGAAGAAUUCUCGGACCCCGAGGCAUGACCGCCAAACAGCUCGAGCAAGAAACAGGAUGCAAAAUUAUGGUGCGAGGCAAGGGCUCGAUGCGAGACAAAAAGAAGGAGGAUGCUAACAGAGGAAAACCCAAUUGGGAACAUUUAGCUGAUGACUUGCAUGUAUUAAUCACAGUUGAAGACACAGAAAACAGAGCUAAAGUUAAGCUGCAACGAGCAGUCGAAGAAGUACAAAAAUUAUUAGUACCUCAAGCCGAAGGUGAAGACGAACUCAAAAAGCGUCAAUUGAUGGAAUUAGCAAUUAUCAAUGGCACAUACCGAGACUCAAGUACAAAGGCAGCAACAGCAGAUUUAACCAAUAUAGCGGAGGAAGAAUGGCGUCGUGCCGCCGCAGCAGUUGCCGAAACGCGAUUAUUGUCACCCGCGAUGCCCGGUUUGGCGCAAGCGACGCAAUUACGGACUCAGGGUACGCCAUUGGGAGCUCCGCUGAUUUUGUCGCCGCGCAUGUCGGUGCCAACGACAGCAGCGAGCCUUCUUUCCGGCUCGGCGCCACCCCAAAUGGAGCACACCGGACUCAUUUAUGCCCAUCCCACGUAUACAGACUACACAAAUUACGCAGCACUUGCGGCAGCUGGAAAUCCCCUGUUGACUGAAUACGCCGAUCAUAGUGUAGGUGCAUUAAAAACACAACAAAGGAGACAGUUUACUCCCAGAGAUCAUCCAUAUCAAAGGGCUGGGGCUCUAUCUUAAAACCUGUCUGUCAAAUUUACAUCAAUUGCAUUGUUAUUUCGACUCGUAAAAAAUUAAACAUUAAUGUUUAAUUUGCAAUUGAUGAUGAAUUUCUUAAGAAGCACUAACAUUCGUAUCUAUGCUCUUAAAAAAACAAAAUUCAAUCAGACUCGUAAAAAAAAUUACUACUAUAUAACUACUACUAUAUAGAACUUAUAUAUUGCUAACAACACGACGUGGUGCCAUGGUAGACAAAUUCGUAUAAAUAUAUAUAAAAAGCCGUGUAAUAGUGAACAAAAAAAAAUAAAUAAGAAAAAAAAACACAGAGAAUACGUAAAAAAAAAUCUGCAAAAAAAUAAUAUAUAUUUCGUACUACUUUACUAAUAAUCCUGUUGUUCUCAAAAAAAAAAAAUAAUACCAAAAAACACAAAAAUUUUUGGACCCGACUAUCUGUGUCGAUGCUGCGAGCUACAAACAAACACCUGCUAGCCUACAACAACAACAGGACAAUUAACUGGAUCCACCUGACAACUAACUGAUGCAAUUGCAAUGUUAUUAUAUUAUAAUAAAUAUUAAAUAAUAUAUAUAUUCACAUCAUUUAUAAAUAUUAAUAAUAAAAAUUAAAUAAACAAAAAACCUUAAACAUAAUAGAAAUAACAAAAAACAACAACAACAUGUAUAAAAUUUAUUAAAGAAUUUUU
This is an RNA transcript of Culicoides brevitarsis, 2046 nucleotides long. It is a transcript of the gene named protein held out wings, with no coding region annotated. The transcript is spliced from 9 exons. The record is from RefSeq and is a predicted model, not a curated record. NCBI's taxonomy places the organism in Eukaryota, Metazoa, Arthropoda, Insecta, Diptera, Ceratopogonidae.